RNAcentral lists this ribosomal RNA (182 nucleotides) under Sporosarcina limicola. Its description in RNAcentral is "Filibacter limicola Bacterial small subunit ribosomal RNA". It matches the Rfam family "Bacterial small subunit ribosomal RNA", at positions 1 to 179 of the family's 1533-position model. The record is from Rfam by way of RNAcentral. Lineage: Bacteria; Bacillati; Bacillota; Bacilli; Caryophanales; Caryophanaceae.
AUUAUGGAGAGUUUGAUCCUGGCUCAGGACGAACGCUGGCGGCGUGCCUAAUACAUGCAAGUCGAGCGGAACAUAAGGAGCUUGCUCCUUAUGUUUAGCGGCGGACGGGUGAGUAACACGUGGGCAACCUGCCCUACAGAUGGGGAUAACUCCGGGAAACCGGGGCUAAUACCGAAUAAUCA